RNAcentral lists this ribosomal RNA (657 nucleotides) under Enterobacteriaceae bacterium Y1U3. RNAcentral describes it as "bacterial SSU rRNA". It matches the Rfam family "Bacterial small subunit ribosomal RNA", at positions 105 to 758 of the family's 1533-position model. The record is from RNAcentral. Lineage: Bacteria; Pseudomonadati; Pseudomonadota; Gammaproteobacteria; Enterobacterales; Enterobacteriaceae.
GGUGAGUAAUGUCUGGGGAUCUGCCUGAUGGAGGGGGAUAACUACUGGAAACGGUAGCUAAUACCGCAUAAUGUCGCAAGACCAAAGCGGGGGACUUUCGGGCCUCGCACCAUCAGAUGAACCCAGAUGGGAUUAGCUAGUAGGUAGGGUAAUGGCUUACCUAGGCGACGAUCCCUAGCUGGUCUGAGAGGAUGACCAGCCACACUGGAACUGAGACACGGUCCAGACUCCUACGGGAGGCAGCAGUGGGGAAUAUUGCACAAUGGGCGCAAGCCUGAUGCAGCCAUGCCGCGUGUAUGAAGAAGGCCUUCGGGUUGUAAAGUACUUUCAGUCAGGAGGAAGGGUGUGAAAUUAAUACUUUCAUGCAUUGACGUUACUGACAGAAGAAGCACCGGCUAACUCCGUGCCAGCAGCCGCGGUAAUACGGAGGGUGCAAGCGUUAAUCGGAAUUACUGGGCGUAAAGCGCACGCAGGCGGUUUGUUAAGUCAGAUGUGAAAUCCCCGGGCUCAACCUGGGAACUGCAUUUGAAACUGGCAAGCUUGAGUCUUGUAGAGGGGGGUAGAAUUCCAGGUGUAGCGGUGAAAUGCGUAGAGAUCUGGAGGAAUACCGGUGGCGAAGGCGGCCCCCUGGACAAAGACUGACGCUCAGGUGCGAAA